This 67-nucleotide transfer RNA is filed under the name Bourletiella arvalis. Its description in RNAcentral is "tRNA-Ser". Lineage: Eukaryota; Metazoa; Arthropoda; Collembola; Symphypleona; Bourletiellidae. The record is from RNAcentral.
AAGGGGAGAAGAUCAACCUUAAGCCGCUAACUUAAAGGUUAAUAGGUUAAAUUCCUAUUUCUCUUUU